RNAcentral lists this long non-coding RNA (485 nucleotides) under Oryctolagus cuniculus (rabbit). Its description in RNAcentral is "lncRNA (ENSOCUG00000038009.1)". The record is from RNAcentral. Lineage: Eukaryota; Metazoa; Chordata; Mammalia; Lagomorpha; Leporidae.
AAGGGUUGGUGGCGCCCUGGCCGCUGUGGGGCGACAUGCUGGAACGGCCUAGGGUUCAAGUGGACAGGGAUCAAGAAAUGUCUGUGCCUGGGGGCAAAGCUUUGCUGGAAUGAAAGGAGGAGCUUCCGGGUGGCUCAGGCUGUCCUCGGAUACAAGCAAACCUCUCCUGAUUGAUCAUGGCAGUUGUUUUAAGAAGGAAAUCAUGUACAAGAAGGAUCACUGAGUAGUGUCAUGAUUUCAACAAAAGUGCUUCGUAGGCUCUGCCAGCCAUUCCCUACCGAGUCAGGGUGUGUGCGAGUGACAGUGAGGUGAACCCCAGUGGAAUGUUCUGGUGAGUCCUUCGCCUCUGUGACGCUCAGUCUCUCCUCCCAAAGAUGCCUGGCUCUUUACCAAGAAAUUGCUCUAGAUGAUGGAGAACUUAAACACAUAUGGAAAACAUGAGAAAUACAAAUGGAUGAAGGGUUUUUUCUUUUUUUAUUUAUGUU